CCUACGGGUGGCAGCAGUGGGGAAUAUUGGACAAUGGGCGAAAGCCUGAUCCAGCCAUGCCGCGUGUGUGAAGAAGGCCUUCGGGUUGUAAAGCACUUUCAGUGGGGAAGAAAGCCUUGGGGCUAAUACCCUCGAGGAAGGACAUCACCCACAGAAGAAGCACCGGCUAACUCCGUGCCAGCAGCCGCGGUAAUACGGAGGGUGCGAGCGUUAAUCGGAAUUACUGGGCGUAAAGCGCGCGUAGGCGGUCUUGUAAGCCGGUUGUGAAAGCCCCGGGCUCAACCUGGGAACGGCAUCCGGCACUGACAGGCUAGAGUGCAGGAGAGGAAGGUAGAAUUCCCGGUGUAGCGGUGAAAUGCGUAGAGAUCGGGAGGAAUACCAGUGGCGAAGGCGGCCUUCUGGACUGACACUGACGCUGAGGUGCGAAAGCGUGGGUAGCAAACAGGAUUAGAUACCCCAGUAGUC
This 465-nucleotide ribosomal RNA is filed under the name Vreelandella stevensii. Its description in RNAcentral is "partial 16S ribosomal RNA". It matches the Rfam family "Bacterial small subunit ribosomal RNA", at positions 338 to 795 of the family's 1533-position model. Lineage: Bacteria; Pseudomonadati; Pseudomonadota; Gammaproteobacteria; Oceanospirillales; Halomonadaceae. The record is from RNAcentral.